AGUGAACGCUGGCGGUAGGCCUAACACAUGCAAGUCGAACGGCAGCACAGUAAGAGCUUGCUCUUACGGGUGGCGAGUGGCGGACGGGUGAGGAAUACACCGGAAUCUGCUUUUUCGUGGGGGAUAACGUAGGGAAACUUACGCUAAUACCGCAUACGACCUACGGGUGAAAGCAGGGGAUCUUCGGACCUUGCGCGAUUGAAUGAGCCGAUGUCGGAUUAGCUAGUUGGCGGGGUAAAGGCCCACCAAGGCGACGAUCCGUAGCUGGUCUGAGAGGAUGAUCAGCCACACUGGAACUGAGACACGGUCCAGACUCCUACGGGAGGCAGCAGUGGGGAAUAUUGGACAAUGGGCGCAAGCCUGAUCCAGCCAUACCGCGUGGGUGAAGAAGGCCUUCGGGUUGUAAAGCACUUUUGUUGGGAAAGAAAAGCAGCAGGUUAAUACCCAGCUGUUCUGACGGUACCCAAAGAAUAAGCACCGGCUAACUUCGUG
Molecule: ribosomal RNA, 492 nt
Filed under: uncultured bacterium
Lineage: Bacteria
Description: partial 16S ribosomal RNA
Rfam family: Bacterial small subunit ribosomal RNA
Source: RNAcentral